This 497-nucleotide ribosomal RNA is filed under the name uncultured bacterium. RNAcentral's name for it is "partial 16S ribosomal RNA". It matches the Rfam family "Bacterial small subunit ribosomal RNA", at positions 28 to 507 of the family's 1533-position model. The record is from RNAcentral.
GACGAACGCUGGCGGCGUGCCUAAUACAUGCAAGUUGAGCGCUGAAGGUUGGUACUUGUACCAACUGGAUGAGCAGCGAACGGGUGAGUAACGCGUGGGGAAUCUGCCUUUGAGCGGGGGACAACAUUUGGAAACGAAUGCUAAUACCGCAUAAAAACUUUAAACACAAGUUUUAAGUUUGAAAGACGCGAUUGCAUCACUCAAAGAUGAUCCCGCGUUGUAUUAGCUAGUUGGUGAGGUAAAGGCUCACCAAGGCGAUGAUACAUAGCCGACCUGAGAGGGUGAUCGGCCACAUUGGGACUGAGACACGGCCCAAACUCCUACGGGAGGCAGCAGUAGGGAAUCUUCGGCAAUGGACGAAAGUCUGACCGAGCAACGCCGCGUGAGUGAAGAAGGUUUUCGGAUCGUAAAACUCUGUUGGUAGAGAAGAACGUUGGUGAGAGUGGAAAGCUCAUCAAGUGACGGUAACUACCCAGAAAGGGACGGCUAACUACGUG